This is a long non-coding RNA of Galeopterus variegatus (Sunda flying lemur), 505 nucleotides long. RefSeq lists it as uncharacterized. The transcript is spliced from 3 exons. The record is from RefSeq and is a predicted model, not a curated record. NCBI's taxonomy places the organism in Eukaryota, Metazoa, Chordata, Mammalia, Dermoptera, Cynocephalidae.
GCUUUGGCAGCUAAGAGAAGCCGUCCUAGGCCAAGCGCGCGCCCCGCGUUUGUCCCCAGUGGUUACUAUUUCUGAAGCAUUGUGUUGACUGACGACUAAAAAGUCAAGAGAUGACCUGGCUCAUCAGUGGUUUGAGAAUGAUGUCCUUGCUGAGGCUUUCAAAGAAAUUAAGGAUCGAGAAUUUGAGACACAUCCCAUUGGGGCUGUAUUGCAGUGAUUCAUCGUGUCUCCUUAGGCUCCUCUGCACUGUGAGUGUCUCAGACUUUCCUUGCUUUGGUGGUCUUGACAGGUUUGAGGAGCACUGCUCAGGUAUUUUGUAGAACAUCCCUCAGUUGGGAUUUGUCUGACAUUUUUCUCAUUAUUAGACUGAGGUUUCAUGUUUUGGGGGAGGAAGGUCACAGAGGUAAAGUGGCCGUCUCAUCACAUCGUAUCAAAGGUACAUGGUACCAACACGACUCAUCACUGUUGAUACUGACCUUGAUCACUUGGUCACCUUGAUGUUGGA